AAUCAAGUGCCUUAAGGGUGCUCGGUGGAUGCCUUGGCGCUGAGAGGCGAUGAAGGACGUGCUACGCUGCGAUAAGCCGUGGGGAGCUGCGAAGAAGCUUUGAUCCAUGGAUUUCCGAAUGGGGAAACCCACCUUCGAUAGCCGGAACUCCAAGACCUUUGUCGAAAGACAUCGGUGUGGGGUUCGAUCAGAUGAUGUGAGAAGGCCAGGCCUUUAGAUUUCGAUCGAAGAGGUUUUGGAUUUCCGGUUAUCAAGAGAAGGUAUGAGACUUCUGAAUCCAUAGAGGGUUUCAAGCAAACCCAGGGAACUGAAACAUCUAAGUACC
RNAcentral lists this ribosomal RNA (325 nucleotides) under Bradyrhizobium japonicum. Its description in RNAcentral is "bacterial LSU rRNA". It matches the Rfam family "Bacterial large subunit ribosomal RNA", at positions 1 to 210 of the family's 2925-position model. The record is from RNAcentral. Lineage: Bacteria; Pseudomonadati; Pseudomonadota; Alphaproteobacteria; Hyphomicrobiales; Nitrobacteraceae.